GCCCAAACCAAGAAGCUUGCUUCUUGGGGAUGUAGGACACUCUAUACGGAGUUACAAAAGAACGUUAUAAAUGAAGCGGUCUGGAACGGCCCGCCAAAGACGGUAACAGCCCGGUAGUUGAAAUGGCUUUCCCUCCAGAGAGGAUCCUGAGUACGGCGGAAAACGUGAAAUUCCGCCGGAAUCCGGGAGGAACAUAUCCCAAGGCUAAAUACUCCCUAGUGACCGAUAGCGAACCAGUACCGCGCGGGAAAGGCGCACAGCACCCCGGAAGGGGAGUGAAACAGAUCCUGAAACCGAGUGCCUAAAAGUAGUU
This 313-nucleotide ribosomal RNA is filed under the name Listeria monocytogenes. RNAcentral describes it as "bacterial LSU rRNA". It matches the Rfam family "Bacterial large subunit ribosomal RNA", at positions 267 to 575 of the family's 2925-position model. The record is from RNAcentral. Lineage: Bacteria; Bacillati; Bacillota; Bacilli; Caryophanales; Listeriaceae.